This 1472-nucleotide ribosomal RNA is filed under the name uncultured Bordetella sp. RNAcentral's name for it is "partial 16S-23S ribosomal RNA intergenic spacer". It matches the Rfam family "Bacterial small subunit ribosomal RNA". The record is from RNAcentral. Lineage: Bacteria; Pseudomonadati; Pseudomonadota; Betaproteobacteria; Burkholderiales; Alcaligenaceae.
AGUUUGAUCCUGGCUCAGGUCGACGCUGGCGGGAUGCUUUACACAUGCCGAGUCGGGCAACCUUUGGACUUCGGUCCUGUUGGCGGGUGGCAGCGGCUGGGUGAGUAAUGUAUCCCGGAACGUGCCUAGUAGCCAGGGAUAACUACGCGGCGUAACUAAUACCGCAUAAAACCCUUCGAGGAAAGCAGGGGGACCUUCGGGCCUCGCACUAUUAAACGGCCGAUAUCGGAUUAGCUAGUUGGUUGGGAUAACAGCGCUCACUAAGGCGACUGAUCCGUAGCUGGUUUGAGAGGACGACCAGCCACACUGGGACUGAGACUGGCCCAGACUCCUACAGGAGGCAGCAGUGGGGAAUUUUGGACGUGGAAACCUGAUCCAGCCAUCCCGCGUGUGCGAUGAAGGCCUUCAGGUUGUAAAGCACUUUUGGCAGGAAAGAAACGGCACGGGAUAAUACCCCGUGCAACUGACAGUACCUGCAGAAUAGCACGGCCUCUUCGUGCCAGCAGCCGCGGUAAUACGUAGGGUGCAAGCGUUAAUCGGAAUUACUGGGCGUAAAGCGUGCGCAGGCAGUUGGAAGAAGAUGUAAUCCAGAGCUUAACUUUGGAACUGCAUUUUUAACUAUCGAAGGCUAGAGUGUCAGAGGAGGUGGAAUUCAUAUGUAGCAGUGAAAUGCGUAGAUAUGCGGAGGAACACCGAUAGCGGCAGCCUCCUGGGAUAACACUGACGCUCAUCAUACUACGAAAACGUGGGGAGCUUGGCUGGAUUAGAUACCCUGGUAGUCCACGCCUAAACGAUGUCAACUAGCUGUUGGGGCCUUCGGGCCUUGGUGGCUGGCUAACGCGUGAAGUGCGACCGCCUGGGGAGUACGGUCGCAAGAUUAAAACUCAAAGGAAUUGACGGGGACCCGCACAAGCGGUGGAUGAUGUGGAUUAAUUCGAUGCAACGCGAAAAACCUUACCUGUCUGACGCUGUCUGGAAUCCCGAAGAGAUUUGGGAGUGCUCGCAAGAGAACCGGAACACAGGUGCUGCAUGGCUGUCGUCAGCUCGUGUCGUGAGAUGUUGAGUUAAGUCCCGCAACGAGCGCAACCCCUUGUCAUUAGUUGCUACGAAAGGGCACUCUAAUGAGACUGCCGGUGACAAACCGGAGGAAGGUGGGGAUGACGUCAAGUCCUCAUGGCCCAUAUGGGUAGGGCUUCACACGUCAUACAAUGGUCGGAACAAGGGAUCGCCAACCCGCGAGAGGGAGCCAAUCGAAACUCAAUCGUAGUCAGCAGAUCAUGAUCUACGAACUCAAACUGCGUGAAGUCGGAGAUCGCUGGCUCAAUCGCGGAUCGGCAUGUCGCGGUGAAUACGUUCGGGUCUUAUACACCGCCCGUCACACCAUGGGAGUGGGUUUUGCAAGUAGUUAGCCUAACCGUAAGGAGGGCGAUUACACGGUAGGAUUCAUGACUGGGGUGAUCCUCCUAGGGAUA